RNAcentral lists this ribosomal RNA (496 nucleotides) under uncultured bacterium. RNAcentral describes it as "partial 16S ribosomal RNA". It matches the Rfam family "Bacterial small subunit ribosomal RNA", at positions 29 to 507 of the family's 1533-position model. The record is from RNAcentral.
AUGCACGCUGGCGGCGUGCCUAAUCCCUGCCAGUCGAGCGAACAGACGAGGAGCUUGCUCCUCUGAUGUUAGCGGCGGACGGGUGAGUAACACGUGGAUAACCUACCUAUAAGACUGGGAUAACUUCGGGAAACCGGAGCUAAUACCGGAUAAUAUAUUGAACCGCAUGGUUCAAUAGUGAAAGACGGUUUUGCUGUCACUUAUAGAUGGAUCCGCGCCGCAUUAGCUAGUUGGUAAGGUAACGGCUUACCAAGGCAACGAUGCGUAGCCGACCUGAGAGGGUGAUCGGCCACACUGGAACUGAGGCACGGUCCAGACUCCUACGGGAGGCAGCAGUAGGGAAUCUUCCGCAAUGGGCGAAAGCCUGACGGAGCAACGCCGCGUGAGUGAUGAAGGUCUUCGGAUCGUAAAACUCUGUUAUUAGGGAAGAACAAAUGUGUAAGUAACUAUGCACGUCUUGACGGUACCUAAUCAGAAAGCCACGGCUAACUACGUG